RNAcentral lists this long non-coding RNA (769 nucleotides) under Nicotiana tabacum (common tobacco). RNAcentral describes it as "long non-coding RNA (NTAB_LNC008821)". Lineage: Eukaryota; Viridiplantae; Streptophyta; Magnoliopsida; Solanales; Solanaceae. The record is from RNAcentral.
AAGGUGGACAUAUAAGUCCCUUUGCACCUUAAGUUGGCCUUGCCGAAAGUCGGGUCAUUUUGAGAGUAAUCUCUCCGAUAGUCAGGCCACAUUGAGAGUAAUAUCUCCGAUAGUCGGGCCGUUUUGAGAGUAAUCUCUCCGAUAUUCAAGCCACAUUCUGUGGACAUAUAAGUCUUCCAAUCUUAAGGUGGACAUAUAAGUCCCUUUGCACCUUAAGUUGGCCUCUUCGCGGGUUUGUCCUUAAAAGGAAUUAUAACUUUCCAAUCUUAAGGUGGACAUAUAAGUCCCUUUGCACCUUAAGUUGGCCUUGCCGAAAGUUGGGUCGUUUUGAGAGUAAUCUCUCUGAUAGUCAGGCCACAUUGAGAGUAAUCUCUCCGAUAGUCGGACCGUUUUGGGAGUAAUCUCUCCGAUAGUCAGGCCACAUUGAGAGUAAUCUCUCCGAUAGUCGGGCCGUUUUGAGAGUAAUCUCUCCGAUAGUCAAGCCACAUUAUGUGGACAUAUAACUCUUCCAAUCUUAAGGUGGACAUAUAAGUCCCUUGCACCUUAAGUUGGCCUAUUUGCGGAUUUGUCCUUAAAAGGAACUAUAACUUUCCAAUCUUAAGGUGGACAUAUGAGUUCCUUUGCACCUUAAGUUGGCCUUGCCGAAAGUCGGGUCGUUUUGAGAGUAAUCUCUCCAAUAGUCGGGCCACAUUGAGAGUAAUCUCUACGAUAGUUGGGCCGUUUUGAGAGUAAUCUCUCCGAUAGUCGAGCCACAUUGAGAGUAAUCUCU